RNAcentral lists this ribosomal RNA (465 nucleotides) under Vreelandella stevensii. RNAcentral's name for it is "partial 16S ribosomal RNA". It matches the Rfam family "Bacterial small subunit ribosomal RNA", at positions 338 to 795 of the family's 1533-position model. The record is from RNAcentral. Lineage: Bacteria; Pseudomonadati; Pseudomonadota; Gammaproteobacteria; Oceanospirillales; Halomonadaceae.
ACUACGGGGCGCAGCAGUGGGGAAUAUUGGACAAUGGGCGAAAGCCUGAUCCAGCCAUGCCGCGUGUGUGAAGAAGGCCUUCGGGUUGUAAAGCACUUUCAGUGGGGAAGAAAGCCUUGGGGCUAAUACCCUCGAGGAAGGACAUCACCCACAGAAGAAGCACCGGCUAACUCCGUGCUAGCAGCCGCGGUAAUACGGAGGGUGCGAGCGUUAAUCGGAAUUACUGGGCGUAAAGCGCGCGUAGGCGGUCUGAUAAGCCGGUUGUGAAAGCCCCGGGCUCAACCUGGGAACGGCAUCCGGAACUGUCAGGCUAGAGUGCAGGAGAGGAAGGUAGAAUUCCCGGUGUAGCGGUGAAAUGCGUAGAGAUCGGGAGGAAUACCAGUGGCGAAGGCGGCCUUCUGGACUGACACUGACGCUGAGGUGCGAAAGCGUGGGUAGCAAACAGGAUUAGAUACCCUAGUAGUC